CAGUGACUCUUUAAACGGCCGCGGUAUCCUAACCGUGCAAAGGUAGCAUAAUCACUUGUCCCCUAAAUAGGGACUGGAAUGAACGGCUAAAUGAGGACAAAGCUGUCUCUUACGGCCUAGCCAAUGAAAUUGAUCCUCCAGUACAAAAGCUGGAAUAAACUCAUAAGACGAGAAGACCCUGUGGAGCUUUAAAACCAAGAUCAUUAAACUAUGCUCCUUGGAUUUUUAGUUGGGGCGACUUUGGAGCAAAAAAAACCCUCCAAAACAUAAAUUUAAUUAUUUAGACCAACACACCAAGAAAAUUAUAUUAGACCCAGCAGUAUUUUUUUACUGUCUGACCAAUGAACCAAGUUACCCCAGGGAUAACAGCGCUAUCCUCUUCUAGAGUCCCUAUCGACAAGAGGGUUU
Molecule: ribosomal RNA, 408 nt
Filed under: Podarcis tauricus tauricus
Lineage: Eukaryota; Metazoa; Chordata; Lepidosauria; Squamata; Lacertidae
Description: partial 16S ribosomal RNA
Rfam family: Bacterial large subunit ribosomal RNA
Source: RNAcentral